Molecule: ribosomal RNA, 776 nt
Filed under: uncultured bacterium
Lineage: Bacteria
Description: bacterial SSU rRNA
Rfam family: Bacterial small subunit ribosomal RNA
Source: RNAcentral
GGCAUGCUUUACACAUGCAAGUCGAACGGCGGCACAGGGAGCUUGCUCCCGGGUGGCGAGUGGCGCACGGGUGAGUAAUACAUCGGAACGUGUCCUGUUGUGGGGGAUAACUGCUCGAAAGGGUGGCUAAUACCGCAUGAGACCUGAGGGUGAAAGCGGGGGAUCGCAAGACCUCGCGCAAUUGGAGCGGCCGAUGCCCGAUUAGCUAGUUGGUGAGGUAAAGGCUCACCAAGGCGACGAUCGGUAGCUGGUCUGAGAGGACGACCAGCCACACUGGGACUGAGACACGGCCCAGACUCCUACGGGAGGCAGCAGUGGGGAAUUUUGGACAAUGGGGGCAACCCUGAUCCAGCCAUGCCGCGUGCAGGAUGAAGGCCUUCGGGUUGUAAACUGCUUUUGUCAGGGACGAAAAGGAUCGUGAUAAUACCAUGGUCUGCUGACGGUACCUGAAGAAUAAGCACCGGCUAACUACGUGCCAGCAGCCGCGGUAAUACGUAGGGUGCAAGCGUUAAUCGGAAUUACUGGGCGUAAAGCGUGCGCAGGCGGUUCUGUAAGACAGAUGUGAAAUCCCCGGGCUCAACCUGGGAAUUGCAUUUGUGACUGCAGGACUAGAGUUCAUCAGAGGGGGGUGGAAUUCCAAGUGUAGCAGUGAAAUGCGUAGAUAUUUGGAAGAACACCAAUGGCGAAGGCAGCCCCCUGGGAUGCGACUGACGCUCAUGCACGAAAGCGUGGGGAGCAAAAAGGAUUAGAUACCCUGGUAGUCCACGCCCUAAACC